RNAcentral lists this ribosomal RNA (253 nucleotides) under uncultured bacterium. RNAcentral describes it as "partial 16S ribosomal RNA". It matches the Rfam family "Bacterial small subunit ribosomal RNA", at positions 524 to 776 of the family's 1533-position model. The record is from RNAcentral.
UACGGAAGGGGCUAGCGUUGUUAGGAAUUACUGGGCGUAAAGUGCGAGAAGGCGGCUUACCAAGUUGGGGGUGAAAGCCCGGAGCUCAACUCCGGAACUGCCUUCGAAACUGGUAGGCUCGAGUCCGGAAGAGGGGCGUGGAAUUCCCAGAGUAGAGGUGAAAUUCGUAGGUAUUGGGAAGAACACCGGUGGCGAGGGCGGCGCCCUGGUCCGGUCCUGCCGCUGAGGCGCGAAAGCGUGGGGGGCCAACAGG